RNAcentral lists this long non-coding RNA (451 nucleotides) under Homo sapiens (human). RNAcentral's name for it is "HSALNT0337622". Lineage: Eukaryota; Metazoa; Chordata; Mammalia; Primates; Hominidae. The record is from RNAcentral.
AGCGGGGGCGGGGCCCUGGGGGCGGGCUCUGCGGCCUGUGGCUGCAGAGGGACGCAAGAGCAUAAACUGAAAUCCCACAUCCCCGUGGAGGAACUUGGAGAUAAGAUGCAAAGCGCAGCAAAUAGGAGCCACUCUUUCAGAGAUGACAGACCACCUGGUUUCGAGGAGCAGCAGACAGCGUGAAUGAAUGAAGUUGGCCAGGUAAAGAACUGAAAUGCAGACAGGAAAUGGGACUUGCCUGACAUGGAGCAGGUGUUCUGUGUGUUGACUGGAAUCACCUGGGAAGUUUUAGUCCUGUGAUACCACCUGGAACCACAAGUGAGGACACAGCAAGAAGAUGAUCAUCUGCAAGCCAAGAAGAGGGGUCUCACCAGAAUCCUAUAAUGCUGGCACCCUGAUAUUUUACUUUCCACCUUCCAUAAAUGUGAGAAAUAAAUGUCUAGGCCACCCA